This 213-nucleotide long non-coding RNA is filed under the name Lathyrus oleraceus (garden pea). RNAcentral's name for it is "Pisum sativum (pea) long non-coding RNA (PSAT_LNC012642)". Lineage: Eukaryota; Viridiplantae; Streptophyta; Magnoliopsida; Fabales; Fabaceae. The record is from RNAcentral.
AAGAGAAAGAGGAAAGAAGAGCUUGGAGGAAAAAGAAGAAAACCCAUGGAGGAUCAUCAUCUUCCCCAACAAAAUCUCAUCUUCUUGUCACCAUAUUUAUCUUUAUCUUCAUCUUCAUCUUCAAGGUGAGUUCUAGUUAGAACUUCCAUGGAAUAAAACUAGGGUUUAUGAUUAAAUCAAAUGAUAGUUGGUAAUGAUCCAUGAUAUGUGUUC